Molecule: ribosomal RNA, 420 nt
Filed under: bacterium
Lineage: Bacteria
Description: partial 16S ribosomal RNA
Rfam family: Bacterial small subunit ribosomal RNA
Source: RNAcentral
UGGGGGAUAUUGCACAAUGGGCGAAAGCCUGAUGCAGCGACGCCGCGUGGGGGAUGAAGGCUUUCGGGUUGUAAACCUCUUUCGCUAUCGAACAAGGCCCGCUUAGGGUGGGUUGAGGGUAGGUGGAGAAGAAGCGCCGGCUAACUACGUGCCAGCAGCCGCGGUAAUACGUAGGGCGCGAGCGUUGUCCGGGAUUAUUGGGCGUAAAGGGCUUGUAGGCGGCUUGUUGCGCCUGCUGUGAAAACGCGGGGCUUAACUGCGCUCGUGCAGUGGGUACUGGCAGGCUUGAGUGUGGUAGGGGUGACUGGAAUUCCAGGUGUAGCGGUGGAAUGCGCAGAUAUCUGGAGGAACACCGAUGGCGAAGGCAGGUCACUGGGCCAUUACUGACGCUGAGGAGCGAAAGCAUGGGUAGCGAACAGG